RNAcentral lists this long non-coding RNA (1161 nucleotides) under Apteryx owenii (little spotted kiwi). RNAcentral describes it as "lncRNA (ENSAOWG00000009618.1)". The record is from RNAcentral. Lineage: Eukaryota; Metazoa; Chordata; Aves; Apterygiformes; Apterygidae.
AUGUUUUUUUUUUUUUUUUUUUUUCCAAGAACAAGACAAGCACAACAACCCCCCCCCCCGGCCAGGGAAAAAGGAACUCAGAUUUCUCAUUACAGAGGCAAAACUGCCCCUUUCCUUGGGCUUUUCCUACAAAAAGAGGCAUUUUCCCAUUCCAGCAGGUGGCAGGGAAAAGGGUUCCCACGCUGUGCCUGGUCUCUGGGCAGCCCCCGGUGCCACCGCUCUGCGUUUAUCCCCCUGUCUAAUCCAUUUACUCUAGCAACCACAUGUUUUUCCCCCCCAUAUCCCACUCUCAGCUGGGCAGGAUCGGCUCCUCACGGUGAUCCCGGGCGUCAGCGCAACGAAGGGGCUCAGGUGGUGGCAGUGGCGACGUGGGUCCCGGCGGCGCUGACGUCCCCCCCGGCGUCACGGCUCGCUCCCGUGAUCGGCUGCCUCCCCUCGGCACAAGCCGCCGGGCUUGUUUACGGCGGGGGCGGCUACACGGAUGCUGCCCGGGUUUCUCCGGAGAAACAGCCCGGAUGCUCCCACCAGGCUCAGGGGGCAACUCGUGCACCCGCACCGGAGCCCUGCAAGCCCAGGAUUUCCCCAAACCCUGCUCCGGCCCGGUGCUCCCGUUGCAAACACUGCCGUGCCUCAGUUUCCCUUCCCAUUUUGGUGCACCGGGAAAGGGGGUGCACCGGGAAAGCAGGUGCAUUGGGAAUGGGGGUGCACCGGGAAAGGGGGGGGGGGUGCACGACCUCCGCCUGCACGAAUAAGGGGCGCCAAGGGGCCGAGCCGCGGCCCCCGGGCCCCCCGCCAAGCGGGCGAAGGGUGAGCCCUGCUCCUGGCCAAGUAUGGGCAGGAAGGGCCGAGCCACCGGGGGCCACUCACCGUCCCCGCGGGCCGAGGUCCGGGAUGCUCCCAAACCUUCCACCCCAGCCAAGGGGGGAGGAAAACACCCCCAAACUCCGUUUCCCCCUAUUUUGCAGCUGCCCUUUUAUAGCUGCCCCAGCCCCGGGGCUGCUCCCGUUAUCCCAGCCCCAGGUGAGGCUCUGCCCCGGCAUCGGCUCCACCUGGGGCAAAAAGCUGCGGAGGGGGCAAAAAGCAGCCCCGAGCGCCCCCGGUGCCAGUGCCGGGGGGGGGACCCCAUGCCCCACUUGCAACCCGAGCUGGUGGAUCCCAUAA